Molecule: ribosomal RNA, 366 nt
Filed under: uncultured bacterium
Lineage: Bacteria
Description: bacterial SSU rRNA
Rfam family: Bacterial small subunit ribosomal RNA
Source: RNAcentral
AACGAACGCUGGCGGCAUGGCUAAGACAUGCAAGUCGCACGGACCGUAUAGCAAUAUGCGGUUAGUGGCGAAAGGGAGAGUAAUGAAUAGGUAAUGUACCUUGGACACAGGGAUAACGCCGGGGGCAACCCCUUUACGAAAGUGGCGCUAAUACCUGGUGAAGUCGGGACGGGGCAUCCCGUUGCGACCAGAGGGCGGGGAUCGUAAGACCUGCCGGUCUGAGAGCAGCCUAUCCUAUCACCUAGUUGGUGAGGUAACGGCUCACCAAGGGAUCGACGGGUAGCGGGUGUGAGAGCACGAUCCGCCUCAUCGGGACUGAGACACUGCCCGGACACCGUACGGGUGGCUGCAGUAACGAAUAUUGGG